This 429-nucleotide ribosomal RNA is filed under the name uncultured bacterium. Its description in RNAcentral is "bacterial SSU rRNA". It matches the Rfam family "Bacterial small subunit ribosomal RNA", at positions 355 to 776 of the family's 1533-position model. The record is from RNAcentral.
UAGGGAAUUUUGGACAAUGGGGGAAACCCUGAUCCAGCUAUACCGCGUGUGUGAAGAAGGCCUUAGGGUUGUAAAGCACUUUAAGCAACGAAGAAGAUAACAAUGUUAAUACCAUAGUUAUUUGACGUUAAUUGCAGAAUAAGUACCGGCUAACUCCGUGCCAGCAGCCGCGGUAAUACGGAGGGUACAAGCGUUAAUCGGAAUUACUGGGCGUAAAGCGCGCGUAGGCGGUUAAGCAAGUUGGAUGUGAAAGCCCUGGGCUCAACCUGGGAACUGCAUUCAAAACUACUUAACUAGAGUACGAGAGAGGAGAGUAGAAUUUCUGGUGUAGCGGUGAAAUGCGUAGAUAUCAGAAGGAAUACCAAUGGCGAAGGCAGCUCUCUGGCUCGUCACUGACGCUAAGGUGCGAAAGCGUGGGUAGCAAACAGG